GGGGCAGUAGCUCAAUGGUAGAGCUCCCGUUUCGCAUUGCGAGAAGACCUGGGUUCGAAUCCCGGCUGCUGUC
RNAcentral lists this transfer RNA (73 nucleotides) under Toxocara canis (dog roundworm). It matches the Rfam family "tRNA". Rfam says of the family: Transfer RNA (tRNA) molecules are approximately 80 nucleotides in length. Their secondary structure includes four short double-helical elements and three loops (D, anti-codon, and T loops). Lineage: Eukaryota; Metazoa; Nematoda; Chromadorea; Rhabditida; Toxocaridae. The record is from Rfam by way of RNAcentral.